UACGUAGGGGGCUAGCGUUGUCCGGAAUCAUUGGGCGUAAAGCGCGCGUAGGCGGCCCGGUAAGUCCGCUGUGAAAGUCCAGGGCUCAACCCUGGAAAGCCGGUGGAUACUGCCGGGCUAGAGUCCGGGAGAGGCGAGUGGAAUUCCUGGUGUAGCGGUGGAAUGCGCAGAUAUCAGGAGGAACACCAACGGCGAAGGCAGCACUCUGGGCCGGAACUGACGCUGAGGAGCGAAAGCGUGGGUAGCGAACAGG
RNAcentral lists this ribosomal RNA (253 nucleotides) under uncultured bacterium. Its description in RNAcentral is "partial 16S ribosomal RNA". It matches the Rfam family "Bacterial small subunit ribosomal RNA", at positions 524 to 776 of the family's 1533-position model. The record is from RNAcentral.